RNAcentral lists this non-coding RNA (27 nucleotides) under Cricetulus griseus (Chinese hamster). The record is from RNAcentral. Lineage: Eukaryota; Metazoa; Chordata; Mammalia; Rodentia; Cricetidae.
UUAUGCACACCAUCAAAUAAAGACAGU